RNAcentral lists this signal recognition particle RNA (103 nucleotides) under Fusobacterium equinum. Its description in RNAcentral is "Bacterial signal recognition particle RNA". It matches the Rfam family "Bacterial small signal recognition particle RNA". From Rfam's summary of the family: The signal recognition particle (SRP) is a universally conserved ribonucleoprotein involved in the co-translational targeting of proteins to membranes. Archaeal SRP consists of a 7S RNA and homologues of the eukaryotic SRP19 and SRP54 proteins. RNAcentral also lists the same sequence under 2 other names. The record is from RNAcentral. Lineage: Bacteria; Fusobacteriati; Fusobacteriota; Fusobacteriia; Fusobacteriales; Fusobacteriaceae.
GUUAUGGAGGACUUAUGGCGUAAUAGUAUCGAACCGUGUCAGGUCUGGAAGGAAGCAGCACUAAGGUAUCUAUUGCGGGUGUGAGGUUGAUACUAUAAUUUUU